This is a small nucleolar RNA of Lathyrus oleraceus (garden pea), 105 nucleotides long. The record is from RefSeq and is a predicted model, not a curated record. NCBI's taxonomy places the organism in Eukaryota, Viridiplantae, Streptophyta, Magnoliopsida, Fabales, Fabaceae.
AGCCCGUGAUGUAGGUAUGCUCUCAUUAGAUCCUUGAAUCACUCUCAUGCUUCGAAGAGAGAUUCUCACCCGUCUGCCUAAAGCAGAUAAUUUGGUUCCUAAGUU